AGCAACAAAUGCCCUGCUUCCAGGAAAAGCCUCUAAGCAUCAGGUAACAUCAAAUCGUACCCCAAACCGACACAGGUGGUCAGGUAGAGAAUACCAAGGCGCUUGAGAGAACUCGGGUGAAGGAACUAGGCAAAAUGGUGCCGUAACUUCGGGAGAAGGCACGCUGACACGUAGGUGAAGUGAUUUACUCAUGGAGCUGAAGUCAGUCGAAGAUACCAGCUGGCUGCAACUGUUUAUUAAAAACACAGCACUGUGCAAACACGAAAGUGGACGUAUACGGUGUGACGCCUGCCCGGUGCCGGAAGGUUAAUUGAUGGGGUCAGCGCAAGCGAAGCUCCUGAUCGAAGCCCCGGUAAACGGCGGCCGUAACUAUAACGGUCCUAAGGUAGCGAAAUUCCUUGUCGGGUAAGUUCCGACCUGCACGAAUGGCGUAAUGAUGGCCAGGCUGUCUCCACCCGAGACUCAGUGAAAUUGAACUCGCUGUGAAGAUGCAGUGUACCCGCGGCAAGACGGAAAGACCCCGUGAACCUUUACUAUAGCUUGACACUGAACAUUGAGCCUUGAUGUGUAGGAUAGGUGGGAGGCUUUGAAGUGUGGACGCCAGUCUGCAUGGAGCCGACCUUGAAAUACCACCCUUUAAUGUUUGAUGUUCUAACGUGGACCCGUGAUCCGGGUUGCGGACAGUGUCUGGUGGGUAGUUUGACUGGGGCGGUCUCCUCCUAAAGAGUAACGGAGGAGCACGAAGGUUGGCUAAUCCUGGUCGGACAUCAGGAGGUUAGUGCAAUGGCAUAAGCCAGCUUGACUGCGAGCGUGACGGCGCGAGCAGGUGCGAAAGCAGGUCAUAGUGAUCCGGUGGUUCUGAAUGGAAGGGCCAUCGCUCAACGGAUAAAAGGUACUCCGGGGAUAACAGGCUGAUACCGCCCAAGAGUUCAUAUCGACGGCGGUGUUUGGCACCUCGAUGUCGGCUCAUCACAUCCUGGGGCUGAAGUAGGUCCCAAGGGUAUGGCUGUUCGCCAUUUAAAGUGGUACGCGAGCUGGGUUUAGAACGUCGUGAGACAGUUCGGUCCCUAUCUGCCGUGGGCGCUGGAGAACUGAGGGGGGCUGCUCCUAGUACGAGAGGACCGGAGUGGACGCAUCACUGGUGUUCGGGUUGUCAUGCCAAUGGCACUGCCCGGUAGCUAAAUGCGGAAGAGAUAAGUGCUGAAAGCAUCUAAGCACGAAACUUGCCCCGAGAUGAGUUCUCCCUGAGACUUUAGGUCUCCUGAAGGAACGUUGAAGACGACGACGUUGAUAGGCCGGGUGUGUAAGCGCAGCGAUGCGUUGAGCUAACCGGUACUAAUGAACCGUGAGGCUUAACCUU
This 1360-nucleotide ribosomal RNA is filed under the name Salmonella enterica. Its description in RNAcentral is "partial 23S ribosomal RNA". It matches the Rfam family "Bacterial large subunit ribosomal RNA", at positions 1589 to 2925 of the family's 2925-position model. The record is from RNAcentral. RNAcentral also lists the same sequence under 4 other names. Lineage: Bacteria; Pseudomonadati; Pseudomonadota; Gammaproteobacteria; Enterobacterales; Enterobacteriaceae.